This is an RNA transcript of Motacilla alba alba, 5988 nucleotides long. It is a transcript of the gene named TP53 induced glycolysis regulatory phosphatase, with no coding region annotated. NCBI's taxonomy places the organism in Eukaryota, Metazoa, Chordata, Aves, Passeriformes, Motacillidae. The record is from RefSeq and is a predicted model, not a curated record. The transcript has 8 exons.
UUGAAACAAAUUAUGUUUCAGUCUUUAUUUAGAAUGUAUUUGGUGUUAAAGCACAAACCACUUUCAAACUGAGGUCAGACCUCCGGGCAACCCACAAGAAUGUACUGGAUUUUUAGAUAGCAUUUAUUCUAUCCAGUUGAGAAACCCUGAAGGAAAUACACUCAGCUAACCAACUAAUAGUUUGGUUAAUCACAUUGUCUGUAAGUCAUAAAACUUCAGCUUUCUGAGGGGAAAAGGUUCCAGUCACUUCUUGAGUUACUUUGUCCAUUUUACCAGCACGAAUUUCUAGGCUGCCCAGAGAAGCUGUGGCUGCCCCUGGAUCCCUGGAAGUGUCCGUGGCCUGGCUGGACAGGGCUUGGAGCAACUUGGAACAGUGGAAGAUGUCCCUGCCCAUGGCAGGGGGUUGGAACUGGAUGAUCUUAAAGGUCCCUUCCAAGCCAGGCCAUUCUGUGAUUCUAUGGGCUCUGCAGGACAAGACCAGUGUGGUCCCAGCUGGAAGCGGGUGCUGACAUCUCUCACUGCUUUGCCUUGGAAAGUGCUGCUUUAAACCAGUCCUUGGAACCAGCUCGCCUUUGCUGAUGGUUACUCCGGGGUGUGAUUUGGCUGCCCAACCUUCUCACUGACUUGUGAGUAAUGUCUUUUAUCCAUCCAUAUAUAAGUAUCAAUGUAUUGAUAUUACUCUGAGCAAAGUGCUGCUGCCAAUCAGUGUUAACUGAGCUGAUGUAACCAGAGUGAACAUCACCAAGCAUUCUGUGCUCUGCAAAGGGGCAAACUUGGUCCGUCCUCUGGUCCCAGUGUGGAGGACUCGGGGUGCAGCUGCAGUGGAGCUGCAGGCUGAGCUCUGGAGAAGCCCAGCUGAGACAAGAGGCUGGCAAUUGCCAGUCCUUCGCCCAGCACAGCGCCCUGUGGCACCGGGCAGGGGAUGGACACUCAGAGACACGGCAGGAGAUGAAAACCCAGACCUUCCUACCCUUAAUCUGUGAGGGUGUAAAAGUGCAGGGGUUCCCUUGUGCUGCGUCCCUCCUGGAAGGCCACCAGCUCGGGCUGUUGUUUUGUCAUUUAGUAAUUGCACCGCGACCGAAGUAUGUUACGGAACUGGAUCUGAGACUCUGGGAAUUGAGCCAGUAAGGAAACCCGGUCUGACUGUGAGUGCGGGGGAUGCAGCUGGGAAGGGGCUUCUGUCCCAGCUCAGGCGCUGCGAAUGUCACUCAAAGUGGCUCCGGGAUGCUUAGACCAGGACGUUUCCUUAACACCAGCGUCACGAGACGCUGCGAAGCCCAGAUUUUAAGGUGAAAGCCUCCUGAUUGCAAUUGCAGAGUGAGAAUGCGGAACCAUUUCGGGUGCAGCAGUCCAGGUGUAAACCUCACACUGCCACGCCCACCACUGAACGCUGUCCGCAGGCGCCACAUCCACGGGGCGCUCAAGUGCCACCAGGGCCGGUGACUGCACCGCUGCCCUGCAGCCUGUCUGAACGCCGCUUAACCCUUUGGGAGAAGAAUUUCUUCCCGAUGUCCAGCCCGAGCCUCCCGUGAGGCCGUUCCCUCUCGUCCUGUCGCUUGUGCCGUGGGAGCUGCGCCAGCUGUCCCCUACCAUCACGGAGCCGUAAACCCUUCCCGGAUCCUCCUUUUCAGCCGGGAGCCGCCUCCGGUGACGUCAGAGCGUGACGCGGGGCGGGCUCAUGACGUCACGGCGCGGCGCGCGGCGCCGCAGUGCGGGUGGUGCGACGUGCGCUCAGCUGCGCUCAGCCUGCCCACAUCUGGGCACAUCUGGGCACAUCUGUGCUCACCUGGGCACGCGUCUGCGUUCGCCUGCGCUCACCUGAGCUGCCGUGCGCCAUGGUUCGGUUCGGGCUGACGGUCGUGCGGCAUGGAGAAACAAGAUACAACAAAGACAAGAUACUGCAAGGUCAAGGAGUGGAUGAGCCACUCUCUGCAACUGGUUUCAGGCAAGCAGAUGCUGCUGGUUUAUUUCUCAGUAAUGUGAAGUUUACCCAUGUCUUUUCAAGUGAUCUCCUUCGAGCAAAGCAGACUGCUGCUGCCAUUCUAGGGAAAAACAGGUUUUGCAAAGAUUUGGAAAUCAAGUACGAUGCAAGACUGCGAGAGAGAAAAUACGGUGUUGCAGAAGGAAGGCCUUUGGCUGACCUCAAGGCUAUGGCAAAGGAUGCUGGAGAGCAAUGUCCUUCAUUCACACCUUCUGGAGGAGAAACACUGGAUGAAGUGAGAGAGCGUGCGAGGGAUUUUUUUGAAUUCCUCUGCCAGCUGGCUGUUGAGUUGGAGCAGAAGGAGCACGGCAAACCCAGUGCCCCAGGCAGGAGCUCAGGAACAUCUGGAGAACAGUUUGUUUUCCCUUGGACGAACCACUGCAGUGAGGCGGAGCUGAGCUCUGCAGGCAGCGGAUCUUCCACGGUAUUAGAUGCCAAUAUUUUGGUGGGUAACAGAACAGCACCCACAAGAAUGAACAAACCAGGACCAGCAAAUCCCUUCCAUGGGACACACUGAGUGUCCCAAAAAUACUGGUCAGCGGGGAUACAAGAAUCAUGCUUUGGCACUCUGGACUCAGCAAAAACCUCCUGGAUUCAAAAGGCAAAUGAGAAGGUUAUUCUGACAGAAGUGAGAAAGGAAAUACAGAACUAUGAACCACCAUUCUUUACCCAGAAUCCGGCCUAACCUCCAAGGAAUAAUCUUCAAAAGAACUUGCUUCUAAAUGUUAGGGUAAGAUUACACCUUAGUGUUUAAAUGCUGUUACAUCAUAAAAUCAAGCUCUUCAACUUAUGCAACCUGAAAUAAAACUGUUUGUCCUUAUACAUAAUAAUAACAACAUAUUCUUCUAAUUCUGUGGUCCCAUAGGACAACAGUCCUGUGGUUGCUACUGUCUUCUACCACAUCCAGUACAUAGUAUGAAGUAAUAAAUUUAUUUUUAUGCAGCACUGAUGGUGUGUCCUGAGAGCUCCAUGAGGCAAAGAUACAAGAAGAGGACAGGCAUCUCUUUACUCAGCUGACCUGGUGUGAAUACCAGGGAAUAGCUCUGUAUUUUUGGGUAUAGCACUGGCAAAAAAAACCCCAGUAAAUGAGGCAUGAAAGUCUAAUGCUCAGGAUAAUACACAAGUAUAAAUUAAAUUUUCCUCUAAUAAGGGCAAAAUGAGGUACAGAUGCAAUAAACUGAUCAACUUUUAAGCUCACAGAAAUACCAGAAUGGGGUUAGAAUGUGCAAUCUCAAUCCUCUCAGAUGGAACUGCUUGUUCUUUAAAGCCCCUUUCAAACCAUUCCAUGAUAAUUUCCUCCCUUACAUUAUAUCCCCUCUCCAUAAUCACCUUCUGUGGCUUCAUUCACCUCUCAUACAACAGGAACAGUUAUUUUAUAACUCUUUCAUCACUAAGAUUUCACUGUUCAGAGCGAAUUAUUGCAGAAGAAAGGACCUCGGAUAGGACUCCCACCUGUCUGGGCAGUGCCACCUUCUAACAGUGACAUUUCUGGCACUGCAGCAGGGUAGAAGCGUCUGGCCAGGACAAGGUCUGUACAUGUGUUUAACUGCCUGCAUUCUUCUCCUCCAGUUUGUCACCAGUUCCCACAGAAGCAAACAGACACAGGUCGCAGAGCCAGUGACAAGAGGCGAAGGGCACUAAGUGAUAUCCUUGACAAAUCCAGACUCUUGGCAUAUUUUUUCCUUGCAAUAACCUCAGUUCAGACUCUGUAAAGGGCACAAGCAGUUUACAGUGGUCACCAUGAGCAAGUUAAAGAAGCUAAACAAUGGCAUUUGCUCCUCACCUCUCCCUGUAGCAAGAAUUUUUUAUUCUAUUCAGGCCACACAUAUAAUUUUACACAACAUUUUCAAGGCAUUAAAUACUGUCACCCUUCCAAGAAAUCUGCACUGCGUAUACAAAUAGAAAACCUCAUGCCCAUUAAGUCAUUUUCCUCUUAAUCUUGAAUAGCUUUUCAUGACUGAAACAGAAUUUCUAAGGUGGCUUUACACCAUAAACUGCAUCCUGUAUUCUACAGCUGCCAGGCACAGACCAAAGAGAAAGUACAGCUUAGGUCAGUCCAUCUCUAUAUUCUGCUUUUCUCCAAAGACAGCUAAAAUUCUGCUGUUAGCACCACUUCCUUGAGAAUAGGUAUGAAAAAUGGGAGUAUUAAAUGCUCUGUCACAGAUCCUCCAGAUAAAGAUUCUCUUUGGCAGGCUUAUUCAGUAUUUACAAGGGUCAAAUUUCAGCAAGCAGAAUUAAUAGUUUUCCCAUACCAUUCCUUCCAUUUUGGCUUUCCAAAACCUCAUCACUAGAGGUUGUUGGUUCAUUUCAGUAUCAAAGACCAACUGGUUCUUCAGAUGACAAGUUUAGAUGCAAUCCUCUGAGGACUGAAAACAAACAUUUCAAAAAUAAAAGGCAAAAAGCUGUGUUCUUUUGCUAGAAAUUAGUGGCAGUUUCACCUAAGUGCUACUAAAUUUAAUGGAGUCUCAUGCUUUGGCAAAAAUACAAGGCAUAAUUUUUAUUACCAAAGAGUCUCAAGGUAUAUGCAAGAUGUUUGCUUAAGAACUGCUGGUGUUCCUUGUUGGUAGAUUUACUGACUGAAGGAAAAUAUAAAACUCGUAUAAGUAGGUAACACAGACCUUUUUCUCACACAGAUAAACAUUACAACUUCUAAAAAGGAAUAGCUCUGCCACCACACCUUUCCCAGACAAAAUAGUGUUAGAGCACUUGCUUUUCUCGGACCAGAGUUUGAUUUCAGUUUAAGGCCAGCAAUGUAAAUUGAGCUGUGACAGGAUUAAUCCAGCUCCUUCUAGAGGAAUUUACAUCCUUCUUUUCUAGAACACCAAAUUAGGUCACAUUACUUGCAUGAUUCUUCUUUAGAAGCUGCUGGCAGAGGAAAAUGAAGUAUUUGACAGUUCAGCAAGAGAUGUUUGCUGGGUCACUUACAUCACUUACUCCUGCAGCAUGCAAGACUUCAUAAAAAUACUAAGCUGAGUCUGUUAAUUACACAGUGACUUUACAAUCAUCAUGAAAUGGUGAGUAUUCCUUUGGUUCUCCAUGAAAAUUUUAAAUUAUGCAGCUUCCCCAAAACAGAGCUUUUCAAUGUUUGCCUUUUUUAAGCUAAAUAACGUUUUAAAAAAGUCACUGUGAUGACAGAAAAUAAUUUGGGUGUUUAUUGGCGUCCAGAUUCUCCAGUUUCCAGUGCAGAAUUUCAGCAGUACAUAGGAAGAGGUUUCAAAGCAAAGUCUGCCAGGAUCCCCAUGAUUCCCACAGAGCAGAACUGUGGAUUUGGAAAUCCCAGCACCUGGAACCCUCACCCCCACAGCUGCUUUGCUAUGAGCCCAGUGGUUCUGGCAAUCCCAAGAAUCCCAGUUCCUGACAGGACUUCCCCUGUGUACAUGGAAAAGCUGCGUCCAGCUCCAAUAUUGUCCAUGAUGGGGGAAGAGCAGUUCCCAGCAUCCCCCUUAUCCCCCAGCACUGGGAUGCAGCGGUUGUCUGGUUGGGGUUUUUUUGACUGGAUUAAAGUUUGGCCCAAGAAAUUUCAUAGCUGCAUCUUGAGCUGUCUUCCCUGGCAUUUUUGAUUAGUCAUAAAAUGUUAAUUAAUAAGCGGCAAAUUUUAUCUGUAUAACAGCAUCCAAAACACUUUAGUGUUUCUAUCAAGUUGUUAAUAUGAUCAACUUCUCAAUGUGAAGUCUGGAAAUAAAGCAAAAAGUAUAAAAAAAAGGAAGACCUAUACUUCAAAAUUUCUAAUUGUCAUAAGUAUAAAUUAAUUAAUUUUUUAAAGUUUUAAAAAUUUUAAAAAUUUUUUGUAGAUUUUUUCCACAAUCUACAAAAUGCAACAGAGUAAAUGUUUGAAUCAAGUAUUUCAUUUUGCAGCAGUAAAAUGAGGCAGUAAUACAUUUUAUUCCAUGGUCACUAUGACAAAUUCCAUUGGUUAUUCUGAUGUGCUCCAUAUUCUUCUAAAAGUCACUAAGAAAAUUCAGCAAAUGUUUGUAGAAGCCAGAAGCCCCCAUUCCUAGCAUAAGCUC